GUGGGGAAUAUUGGACAAUGGGCGAAAGCCUGAUCCAGCCAUGCCGCGUGUGUGAAGAAGGUCUUCGGAUUGUAAAGCACUUUAAGUUGGGAGGAAGGGCAGUAAGUUAAUACCUUGCUGUUUUGACGUUACCGACAGAAUAAGCACCGGCUAACUUCGUGCCAGCAGCCGCGGUAAUACGAAGGGUGCAAGCAUUAAUCGGAAUUACUGGGCGUAAAGCGCGCGUAGGUGGUUUUGUAAGUUGGAGGUGAAAUCCCCGGGCUCAACCUGGGAACUGCCUCCAAAACUGCAUGACUAGAGUACGGUAGAGGGUAGUGGAAUUUCCUGUGUAGCGGUGAAAUGCGUAGAUAUAGGAAGGAACACCAGUGGCGAAGGCGACUACCUGGACUGAUACUGACACUGAGGUGCGAAAGCGUGGGGAGCAAACAGGAUUAGAUACCCCGGUAGUCC
Molecule: ribosomal RNA, 450 nt
Filed under: uncultured bacterium
Lineage: Bacteria
Description: partial 16S ribosomal RNA
Rfam family: Bacterial small subunit ribosomal RNA
Source: RNAcentral